RNAcentral lists this ribosomal RNA (253 nucleotides) under uncultured bacterium. Its description in RNAcentral is "partial 16S ribosomal RNA". It matches the Rfam family "Bacterial small subunit ribosomal RNA", at positions 524 to 776 of the family's 1533-position model. The record is from RNAcentral.
UACGUAGGGUGCAAGCGUUAAUCGGAAUUACUGGGCGUAAAGCGUGCGCAGGCGGUUAUGUAAGACAGUUGUGAGAUCCCCGGGCUCAACCUGGGAACUGCAUCUGUGACUGCAUAGCUAGAGUACGGUAGAGGGGGAUGGAAUUCCGCGUGUAGCAGUGAAAUGCGUAGAUAUGCGGAGGAACACCGAUGGCGAAGGCAAUCCCCUGGACCUGUACUGACGCUCAUGCACGAAAGCGUGGGGAGCAAACAGG